UUUUUUUUUUUUUUUUUUUUUUUUGUUUUGUUUUGUUUUGUUUUUCUUUUUUUCGGAGCUGGGGACCGAACCCAGGGCCUUGUGCUUCCUAGGCAAGUGCUCUACCACUGAGCUAAAUCCCCAAGCCGUCUGCUCUGCUUCUUACCAGUGCCUCCACACCCUCUGUUCCUCCUGAUGCUCACCUUAGCGCUAGCCAUUGCUUUGCUGACACAGCUCCCUCAUGAAGUGCCCAGUGGCCAUGCACAAACACGGUGAGCCUCCCUCUCCUGGGUCCUGUAGGCCUGAACGCUCGUCUCCAUCCUUGCACGAUUCUCAUGUGGGUGGUUGCUGUUUUAAGCACUGAGAUCUGCCUUGUCUGCUUGUGUCCACACAGAGGCCAGCGCUUGGCCUGAUGUGUGCAGAAGUGGUUCCCUGCCUAGAGGGAGUAAGUGGGCCAAGCCCAGUGAACACAGGCCCUGAGCCUCGGUGGAGCCUUGCAAAUACAGGCCCUAGGCCUGGCCCUGUUGUCAGCCAACUUGGCUCACCUCUUCUGCUCCUCAGACCUCAGUGGAUGCCCCGGGAGGAUGAAACUGAGGUGGAGGAACACCUAAGCAGCCAGACAUGGCUUGGCCUUGAUCUUUUGACUGGGCAGGAAUGAACGCAACCCCCAGUUUUCUUCCUUUCAAAAUGCCCUUUAGAAGAGAGGGAGUCGUCUCUUGCAGCGAGCUUUGACAAAGCGCUCCAGUUCUUGAGAAUCUCUCAAUCGCUUUUAUAUCAGACAACAAAGAAACGUUUGGGGGAUGUACAUUAGUUUAAAGCCACCUCAAACAUCACGGGUUUAGAAUUCUUAAAGAGAUAAUCUGACAGAAUCUGUAAGGGAGGGGGGAAAGGCAGAGACUUUUUUUUUUUUUAUACACAGAUUUAGCAAUUCUUCCUCGGGCUAUGACCUCGAAUUACAAGUGCUGGAUGUCAUGGCAAAUAAGCCUUUAAAACCCUGCCUGAAAAGCAACGCUUCACGGCUCUUUUGUGGAGGGCACGGAGGCGCACACACCCAGAGCAGGCACACAAUCCGGUCUGUGCUCCUGUCAUGCAAAUGGGGAUGUGGGUCUGUUUGCAGCCUGUUGGCAGCCUCCUUACAACGUGGGAGCUUGAAGCCCUGAUGUCAGCAUGCCCCAAGAGAGAGGUGGGAGAGGGUCUGGAAAACGGGCUGAUUGUCUGUUGCACCGGAUGCUAAACCCAGAAGUUAAGGACCGAAUUAGAGCCUUUUCGGGUGGUGAAUAUGAGACUUUUUUUAUAUGAAUAUAUUAUGAGAUUAUAAACGACUGCAUCUAAAUUACAUGCCUAUUAGUGUAUUCACUAAGCAGACAUUUGCCUGGCUUAGCUCACUCUCCAAAGCUUUGCAUGUACCGGGUCCAACCGCUUUUUUUUUGGGGUUGCCUUUUGACCUAGGAGUGCAGGAUGCGUUCGGAAGACUCAGCCAGGACUUUGAAAGCCCCCAAAAAACUGGCAGUUGGCCGAAAGCUUCCGAGUCCGGUUGGAAAUAGAUUUUGAAAUAUUUACCCAUCUUGGACUUAUCUUCUUAUUCCGAGGAAGAUGAAAGAGAAACAAUGCCCUCUCUAAAAGUUUUAAAAGUGGGGGAGGACCCAAAGCCAAUUGCUCUAAACCCAGUCAUGAUUUUUAGGCCUCUUCUCCCUCUCUCGCCCAUCUCUCUCUCUGCUUUCUUUCCUUCUGGGGGUCAAUUAAUCAGCCUGGUUCCUUUCUUUUGCACAGAUGGAUCUACCAUGAAGCACACGUUGUUCCACAAACGGCGUCUAAAUUAUGCUUUUCCUCCUGUUUGCAACAUAGGGAUCGCCACUGUGUCUGUGCCGCAGAGAACUGAGUUUGAGAACUUGUCCAGACCUAGGGACUUGGGAGGCAGCUAGGACUAAGACCCAGGCCUGACCUGGUAACCUUGGCCUUGUCCUGGCUUUCAGAAACAUUUUUCUACUGUUUACAGAAAGUGAUGGUAUCAGAAUGGCAGGAGGGCCCAGCAAGGAACUGAAACUUGAUUCCUUUGUCACUACCUGCUGUGAGUGGACCUGCAAGAAGAUGCUGCUUCUGGAACUCUAUGAGAUGGUUCUUUCUGGCCACUCAGCUCACAUGUCACUCCACAGAGGCGUGAGUCUAACGUUGUUACUGUCUCCUAUAUCAAGCCGCCGUCUUCAAACACUAAGAGAUCGUCACGAUCCAGUGAGGUGCUCGCAUCAGAGUUGAGUGCCUGUCAUCCCCAAGAAGAGCAAAGUGCUUGUUGCUCUUGGUCCCGAGCAGACACCAGAGCAAGAGUUGGCAUAGAAGGGCCCCGGUGAGGAAACGCAUUGGAAGAGUGAGUGCAUGGAUUAAAAAAUGCAGUGUGCCAGGAAGGGCCUGGGCCACUGGGUCCUUCCAGCUGCUUCUCUGGAGAGCAGAAAAGGGGGUGGGGGUGCUUGACUUGCUCACAACAUGUUUUGGGGUUUGCCUAGGAUGUGUUAUGAAUCAGUGCCAGGGAUUGCCCAUCCCUUGUGCUCUGACCCAGUCAAAUAUUUUGCUUGUAAAGCUAUUAAAGAGGUAGAGAUAACGGC
Rattus norvegicus (Norway rat) is the source of this 2576-nucleotide non-coding RNA. NCBI's taxonomy places the organism in Eukaryota, Metazoa, Chordata, Mammalia, Rodentia, Muridae. The record is from RefSeq and is a predicted model, not a curated record.